Non-coding RNA from Podarcis lilfordi (Lilford's wall lizard), 72 nucleotides. Lineage: Eukaryota; Metazoa; Chordata; Lepidosauria; Squamata; Lacertidae. The record is from the annotation of a GenBank genome assembly.
GUGACUGUAGCUCAGUGGUAGAGUAUCUGAUUUGCAAGCAGAAGCUCCUAGGUUCAAUCUCAGGCAUCUGCA